AUGCAACAUUUAUUGGAUGCCAACCGCCGUUAAACCUAAUCGAAAAAGAGAUAUCGCUUAUUAUCGCAUCAGUACAAACUUUGUAAGUGUAUACAUUAAACGUGUCACUAAUUUUGGAACGCUCAACUCGUCAUAGCCCCGCCUCCUCAGUUCCGGCAUUUUGGCUCCGGAAGUACAGUAAUUUUUUUGGUUCACAGGAAAAGGAAAAAAAAACUGCUGUUGGGAAACAAAACAGCAAAGUGAGUUUUAGUGACGAAUGUGAUUAUUUUAUAGUUUUACUAUAGUAAUACGUAUCAUAAUAAAUGACAAGAUGUGAUUUAGUUUGGCAUCUUAGUUUGCUUCUUGCGCAUUUGUAGCUAGCCAAAAUGUGCUAGCUAACUCGCAACGACGCUAUGCUGUCGUUUAACGGUAAUUCCCAAGUGUCUUAUCUUCUGCAAGCAAAGUGGUUUGCUUGCAAUCGAUUCCACAACAACUAGCGUGCUAAUGCUAUGCUGCAUCGUGAAUGGAUGGGAGUUUGAUUAUUGGAGUAACUAGCUAGGUAGUUUUCUUGUUACAUUGUUGCAGCUAACUAACAACAUAGCUAACUGUCUAGCCAGUCAGUAUUAAGCUGUUGCGCUCAUUACAGCAGGUUAACUAGCUAGUUCGUUUACUUAGGUAACUCGCAAAUUCAAUUACUAGUUAUUAGGCUACAGUAAAAUAGUUGAACAAUAACCAUAUCCCACGCUUCGAAAUGCCUGCCCCAAAAAGACACGAGUCUUUUCAGGAUCCUCAAGCAAAGAGAAGAAAGAUGGAUCAGAAUGAAGUCGCCAUGCCAUCCAACAAAACGACACCAGCCUCUGCAACGUCAAGCAACCCCCAAAGAGAAGCACCUUUGCAGAGAAGGAAUAAGAAAAAGGCCCCUGCAGAACUAAAAGAGGGAAAUAAACCUGCAGGGUCCAGCCGCCAUUCCUCCAAGACAAAAUCAACCCAAAAGGCCAGGACUAGGACCAAGUUCAAUCCACCUGUAAAGAACACCAAGCUGCUGAAAGCCACAAGUGCCUCCUCAAAGAAUCCCAACUCUAAAGGAACCCUAAAAAGACCAGCCAAGAUCUUCAAAAUUGCUUCCACAGAGUCUGAUGAGGAGCUUAUCAGAACUCAUAAACCCCAUUGCAUCAGAAAAUACUCUAAUGGGGAUAGAGGUAAGCGUAAAGGGUCACAGUCUAACCUGAAUGAAGAAGUAUUGCUCUCAGACCCUGUGCAGAGGGAUCACAAUUAUGGUAUACCCUCUGCGUCUUGUGGUAGUCAUUCUGAAAUUGAGGAAAAUAAAAGGAAAAGAGUCAGAGAGUCCACCAGAGGCCCAGAGACCCUGAGAGAUGUGAAGAUGGAAACUCAAAUAUCUUCAGGACCCUUACCUGAACAAUCUGGACAGAUGAAGCGGAGCAGUGAGACACAUGAGAUGCAGGAUAAUUCCAUUACCACCCCAACAGAUGAAUUUAGUGAGAGUGUCAAUACCAAGCCAGACACAGAAAUGUCUCCUCCAGCAUCCCCUGAGAAAGCUUCAGACCCCAUCCAUAAACAGGUGAACCAGAAUAAUUCCAUGACUACCCCAACAGAUGAAGUUAGUGAGAGUUUUGAGACCAAGACUGACACAGAAAUGUAUCCUCCAGCAUCCCCUGAGAAAGCUUCAGACCCCAUCCAUAAGCGGGUGAACCAGAAUAAUUCCAUGACUACCCCAACAGAUGAAGUUAGUGAGAGUUUUGAGACCAAGACUGACACAGAAAUGUAUCCUCCAGCAUCCCCUGAGGAAGCUUCAGACCCCAUCCAUAAACAGGUGAACCAGAGUAGUGAGACACAUGAGGAGCAGAACGAUUCCAUGACCAUCCCUACAUAUCAAGUUAGUGAGAGUGUAGAGAGCAAGAUUGAUGCAUAUAAAAAGUCUGCAGACCCCAUACCUGAACUACUAAAACAGAGCACUGAGACACAGGUUAUGCAGGAAAACUCCAUGACCACCCAUACAGAUCAAGUUAAUGAACAUUUAGAGACUAAGAUCGGUGCAAAAAUAUUGUCUCCUCCAGCCAUAGGCUUAGUAGCAUAUAGUAGCAGUAGUGAUUCUGAAUGUGAAAGUGAGGGAAAUGACAGGACGGGAGUCACAGAGUCAAUAGAUAUGAAGAUGAAAACUCAAGCAUCUUCAGAGAAGGCUUCAGACCCUGUCUCUGAACAGGUGAAGGAGAGCAGUGAGACGAGGCAGAUGCAGGAGGAUUCCAUGACCACCCCUACAUAUGAAGUUACCGAGGAUUCCAUGGCCUCCCCUACAUACCAAGAAGUUACCGAGGAUUCCAUGACCACCCCUAGUGAGAGUGUAGACGCCAAGCUUGACGCAAAUAUAAAGCCUCCAUCUAUAGAAGUAUAUUCAGAGGAGGCUUCAGACCCUGUCCCUGAACAGGUGAAUCCUGAACAGGUGAAUCAGAUAUACAUUGAAAUAGAGAAGGUGCAGGAAGAUUCCAUGACCACCCCAACAGAUGAAGUAAGUGAAUGUUUAGAUGGCACGCUUGAUGCAGAAAUAAUGUCCCUUCCACCUUUAGAAGCAUCCUCUGAGGAGACCCAUACAUUUGAAGUUAGUGAGAAUGUAGAGACCAAGUGUUCAGAACUUGCACCUGAACAUGUGACGCAGAGCACUGAGACACAGGAGAUGCAGGGAGAUUCCACGCCAGCUCAUGCAGAUCAAGUAAGUGAGAGUGUAGACACCAAGCUUGAUAUCGAGGUAAAUUCUCCUCCACCUGUUGUACUAUCCUCUGAGGAGUAUUCAGACAUGGUCUCUGUCUCAGAACAGGUGCUGCAGAGCAGUGAGACACAGGAAGUCCAGGAAGAUUCCAUGACCACCCCUACAGAUGAACUUAGGGAAAGUUUAGGAACAAAGUCGGGUGCUAAAAUAAAGUCUCCACCCCUAGAGGUGCUUUUCAGUGCUCUAAAGGAGUCCAAUCUUUGCAAACAUCCACUGUCUCAUACGAUGCGCUCAAAUGUUAAAGAGUUUCUGGGAGUAGAGGAUUCUUUAGAAAUCACACAAAAAGACUGGGAGUUUGGUGUAACAGAGAGCAUUGAGUGUACUUUAGACCUGGAGACCCCGAUUAUUGUCGAGGAUAUGGAGAUCGGCCACUGUGUUGUGGAGGUGGUGGGAGAGAAUGGAGAUGAGGUGGACAGUGAUCUGGAAAUCAUAGACAUCUCUGAGAGGCCAGAGAACACACUUGAGCUAACCAAAGGGUCUGAAGAAGAGUGCAGUGUGGAUAAAAGUGAAGAUGGUAUUGAAAAGAAAGGCACAAGUUCCUCUAACCAAGACAGCACAAAUAGUGGUAAGAAGGAAGCUACUAAAAAAACACAGGGUAGCCUGGAAAAACCCAAGAAACAGCAGAUGAACCCUCAGGCCCGGACCAAAGCCCGACUAGCAGCACUAGCUGAGCAAAAGGCAGCCGCCUCCAAAAAAGCGAGCAGGCAGCUCAACCUCCUGGCCCUAUGUGAAGAAAUAGCAGAUGAUAUCGCCACUGACACAAUGUUAAUAAAGACGAAGGAGGAGGAGGAGCAGGUUGUAACAGUUAAGGCUGAACCCAGCAAGGAGCCAGAAUGCACACCGCCUGUCACACAGGCUGAGACUGUUCCUAUACCUCCAACUCCUGCCGGGCCCGAGGAACCCUCUCCAGCAGUAGAACCCUCCGCUGAGGAGCCUGCUCCAGCCAAGCCCCCAGCUCCAGAGCCAUCUCAGAGGCGUUUCUUCAUCAGCCAAGUGACAGUACCCCUCAAAAUCCACGAGAAGAAGAAGCUUACCAGGUUCCAGAGGCUGCGGCAGGUGGAGCUACAGCGGGAGAAGAAUAUGUCCUGGACCAUGGUGAAGAAGCUCAAGUCCGAUCAGAAGAUGAUUCCAGAGACUGAGACUAAACCUUCCCCUCCAGCAGCAGUACCUGUCCAAGUGACCACACCCCCACCCCCCUCAGCCAGUCCAGCAGCACCCACAGUAGCUGCACUCUCCCCAACCAUUCCAGAAGUAACCCCAAAAGUUGAGCCCCCAAAAGUUGAGCUCCCCAAAGUGACCCCCAGUAAGGGACCCACCCUGAGAAAGAGGACGCUUCCAGCAGAACCCCCACCGAUGCCCAACGGGCUGAAAGCUCAGAAGGCCAAGCCUGUGGUGGAGUAUAAGCCUUACAAAUCCAGGCCCAAGUACUCCUUUGAUGACUUUGAAUGUGAUGACGAGCCGAAACCCACAGUGCAGAAGGCAGCAGUGAGACCUACAGCUACCACUAUUCAGAGGGCAGCAGUGACACCUACCACUAUUCAGAGGGCAGCAGUGACACCUACCGCCGUUCAGAGGGCAGCAGUGACACCUACCGCCGUUCAGAGGGCAGCAGUGACACC
This 4380-nucleotide long non-coding RNA is filed under the name Salmo salar (Atlantic salmon). RNAcentral's name for it is "lncRNA (ENSSSAG00000043689.2)". The record is from RNAcentral. Lineage: Eukaryota; Metazoa; Chordata; Actinopteri; Salmoniformes; Salmonidae.